UUACCAGGUCCGGACACAGUGAGGAUUGACAGAUUGAGAGCUCUUUUCUUGAUUCUGUGGGUGGUGGUGCAUGGCUGUUUUUAGUUGGUGGAGUAAUUUGUCUGGUUAAUUCCGUUAACGAACGAGACCUUAACCUAUUAAAUAGUCGUGGGAACCCAGGUCUUUCAUCCCUCUUCAGCAAUGGGGGGGAAACCAUUAUCAUAUUGGUACCCUCUGGGUAUCGUGUGGUAGUGGUGAGGAUCUGAUAGUGUUCUUAUAGGCUUCUUAGAGGGACUCUUUGCAUCUUUAGCAAAUGGAAGUUUGAGGCAAAAACAGGUCUGUGAUGCCCUUGAUGUUCUGGGCUGCACGCGCGUUACAAUGACGCAUGCAACGAGUUAUUAAAAUUCCUGGCCCGAUGGGGUGGUAAUCUUUUAAAGUGCGUCGUGAUGGGGAUAGAGCAUUGCAAUUAUUGUUCUUGAACGAGGAAUUCCUAGUAAUUGCAGGUCAUCAACCUGCGAUGAUUACGU
This 506-nucleotide ribosomal RNA is filed under the name uncultured eukaryote. RNAcentral describes it as "bacterial SSU rRNA". It matches the Rfam family "Eukaryotic small subunit ribosomal RNA", at positions 1215 to 1650 of the family's 1831-position model. The record is from RNAcentral.